Molecule: ribosomal RNA, 28 nt
Filed under: Crassostrea madrasensis
Lineage: Eukaryota; Metazoa; Mollusca; Bivalvia; Ostreida; Ostreidae
Description: partial 5.8S ribosomal RNA
Source: RNAcentral
CACUCUAAGUGGUGGUCACUCGGCUCGG